RNAcentral lists this ribosomal RNA (465 nucleotides) under uncultured bacterium. RNAcentral describes it as "partial 16S ribosomal RNA". It matches the Rfam family "Bacterial small subunit ribosomal RNA", at positions 338 to 795 of the family's 1533-position model. The record is from RNAcentral.
CCUACGGGAGGCAGCAGUGGGGAAUCUUCCACAAUGGACGAAAGCCUGAUGCAGCAACGCCGCGUGAGGGAAGAAGGGGUUCGGCUCGUAAAGCUCUGUUGGUAGUGAAGAAAGAUAGAGGUAGUAACUGGCCUUUAUUUGACGGUAAUUACUUAGAAAGUCCCGGCUAACUACGUGCCAGCAGCCGCGGGUAUACGUAGGUGGCAAGCGUUGUCCGGAUUUAUUGGGCGUAAAGCGAGUGCAGGCGGUUCAAUAAGUCUGAUGGGAAAGCCUUCGGCUCAAACGGCGAAUUGCAUCAGAAACGGUUGAACUUGAGUGAAGAAGAGGAGAGUGGAAUGCCAUGUGUAGCGGUGGAAUGCGUAGAUAUAUGGAAGAACACCAGUGGCGAAGGCGGCUCUCUGGGCUGCAACUGACGCUGAGGCUCGAAAGCAUGGGUAGCGAACAGGAUUAGAUACCCGAGUAGUC